CAGCCGCCGCGGUAAUACGUAGGGUGCAAGCGUUGUCCGGAAUUAUUGGGCGUAAAGAGCUCGUAGGCGGUUUGUCGCGUCUGCUGUGAAAUCCCGAGGCUCAACCUCGGGCUUGCAGUGGGUACGGGCAGACUAGAGUGCGGUAGGGGAGAUUGGAAUUCCUGGUGUAGCGGUGGAAUGCGCAGAUAUCAGGAGGAACACCGAUGGCGAAGGCAGAUCUCUGGGCCGUAACUGACGCUGAGGAGCGAAAGCGUGGGGAGCGAACAGGAUUAGAGACCCCUGUAGUCCCUGUCUCUUAUAC
Molecule: ribosomal RNA, 301 nt
Filed under: uncultured bacterium
Lineage: Bacteria
Description: partial 16S ribosomal RNA
Rfam family: Bacterial small subunit ribosomal RNA
Source: RNAcentral